Regulatory RNA element from Aeribacillus pallidus, 131 nucleotides. It matches the Rfam family "Ribosomal protein L20 leader". Rfam says of the family: This family is a putative r-protein leader autoregulatory structure found in B. subtilis and other low-GC Gram-positive bacteria. It is located in the 5' untranslated regions of mRNAs encoding initiation factor 3 followed by ribosomal proteins L35 and L20 (infC-rpmI-rplT). Lineage: Bacteria; Bacillati; Bacillota; Bacilli; Caryophanales; Bacillaceae. The record is from Rfam.
GAGAACAAGCAGAAGCACCCGCUUCUCACCUGAUUGACGCACAUCGUUGCUGUUGACAGGUUUAUACAUUGGACAAAAAGUUCGUGUAUUCAACGUGUGGGUGCAGUGUGCGUCUACGCGUUUUUUAUUUG